UGUUUAUGGUAGUAUACCUCUCAAGAAUCAGUAUGCUGUGAGAAAUAAAUUUAAAUAUUUUCGUCUUAAAUUUUUUACAAAAAAUUGGCCAAUUUAAAUUUAGUACGUAAUCUGAAGGUUUAUCCAUUUCGAGGUUCAAAUUUAGCAGCAGUACUUUGCAAGUCUCAGUUCUUCUAAGUCAAUAAACUUUUAUUCUUGAGUUCUUUCAGCUUGUAAUUGAAACAGUAGGAAUUAAAACUAUUUUAAUGCAGCUCAAAUAUUAUUUAACAACAUUCCGGCUAAGUAUAUCCCAAAUUUGUGGUAUCGUCGAGUCAAUCUAUAUGUUGAACCAAUGGAAUAAAAUAAUAACUUCUGUUUAUAAAUAUUUUUAAUAUUAUUGAUUUAUUGUAAAAAAUACGCUAGAACCAAACUUAAAUAAUGAAAAAUAUUACUUAAUUUUGAAUUCCUGCCGAUACACGUAUAACAAUAAUCAUUUCGAAACGAUGCUCAAAAUAGUUAAGGUCAAACAAAAGCAGUGUAAAUACAUUGCAUGUGUAUGGAAAAGGAUGCGCGUUUCAAGUGGCUGCAAAUGGAGAAUGCGAUUGACGCUGCUUACGGCAACGCCCAGCACAGGAGAAGGAAUCAUUUACACUCAAGUGUGGCACAGGAUAUUAGAAAUUUACAUCAACAAUGUAAACACUUAUGGUUGACGGUGCUGAUGUGGAUUUUAAGCACUUUUUAGCGUUUUUCUCCUUGUCGCUUUGAGGAACAUGAGUUUGUCAUGAUGAAGAGCAACGCGUAAGGGUGUCAGUUGCAGUAGAAAAACCAUUUAAAAUAACACCAACCAAAGAACAAGAGGCAAUAGACGACGGUGACAGUCACAAGUACAUUUAUAAUUCCGACCUGUUUAAUUAUGCCGAAUAUGACGCGUGUUGGGCUUGUCGCAAGUCCCAAUCAACACUACUAUUGCUGCUUUCGAACUUCGAAUUUGUUUCCCAUCCGCUUCCCGUAGAGUUUGAUGCAUUUCGUAUCAUUUUUUUGCUGCCGCUCUUACAAUCUUAUACUAAUUGACCAACACAUUUAGCAAGGGAACAUUGGAAAAUGUGGAAUGAAAGCAGGACGCGCAGGAAAGUAGAAAAGUUGUUGGAUCUAUAAAGCUGAAGGAUAAUAUAUAAAUAGCGAAAUCAUUAUAAGAUUUCUCAAAUCACAAAACAACGUUAUUAACAGUUAGGAAAUGAGAAAAGAAAUUUGUUGAAAAUAGGGUAUCUGCAGAAAUAAUGAAUACUCCGGAUGGGAAACUGAAGAAACGUAUUUGAAAAUUAUGAAACGAUCUUGAGAAGAAAACUUUGAUAGUAAUGGCAAUCAUGGUGUAGAAGUUAUUCUAUUAAAAAUUGAACUCUUGAGAUUUUUAAAUACUAUGUAUAAAUAAUGCUGUGCCUCAUACCAAAUUACUGAUAUGAAGAUCGUAAAUAUAUAAGAAUCAAUCAAUUACUUUACUUAUAUGUGAAAUGUGAAUGAACAAGAGUAAAAUAAACCUCAGCCAAGUACAAUAUUUUAAACAGAGAUCGUCAAAAGCCAUUCAGAUGACGAACCUAAAUUGAUUGGUCUCACUUUAUUCGAUACAGAUUUCUCAUACAUUUGUGGCACUAUAUUUAUAAUUGAAUUAGUUAUUCGUGGCAUGAUACCUAGUACAUAAGGACAGUAUCCGAUAAGAAUGGGUGAUAUGCUUGACCAUGGUACGGUAUAUUUAGUACGGUACGAAGUUCAGUAAAGAUUGAAAGUUUCUCGGCUGUUUCUAUUAUCGGGGGUCGAAAGUAUCGUCUACCAAUUAUAUAUAUUGAUAAGCAAAGAAGCUCAUUCUUGCUAACGAGUUAAUUCGAUUCGCGUCGUCCUGCGACUAAAAAUAUAUAUGGUUUUCAAUACAAUCUGGCUUAAUAAAAUGGCGGUUCUUAAUAAGAAAACUCUGUCAUUUGUUUAUUUCCUGAAAGGUUGAAAAUGAAAUAUCUUCAUUGCAGUAUCAUUUCGAAGAUCUGAUAAAAUAGCAUAAACCCAGCAUGCAAAUGAGUUGUCUUUGGUCUUCCUCAAUGAUUUUAUUAUUAUGGAUAUAACGAAAAUGUUUG
Long non-coding RNA from Teleopsis dalmanni, 2099 nucleotides. RefSeq lists it as uncharacterized. The transcript has 6 exons. Lineage: Eukaryota; Metazoa; Arthropoda; Insecta; Diptera; Diopsidae. The record is from RefSeq and is a predicted model, not a curated record.